RNAcentral lists this ribosomal RNA (468 nucleotides) under uncultured bacterium. Its description in RNAcentral is "partial 16S ribosomal RNA". It matches the Rfam family "Bacterial small subunit ribosomal RNA", at positions 28 to 507 of the family's 1533-position model. The record is from RNAcentral.
GAUGAACGCUGGCGGCGUGCUUAACACAUGCAAGUCGAACGGAAAGGCCCAAGCUUGCUUGGGUACUCGAGUGGCGAACGGGUGAGUAACACGUGGGUGAUCUGCCCUGCACUUCGGGAUAAGCCUGGGAAACUGGGUCUAAUACUGGAUAGGACCACUUCUUGGAUGGUGUGGUGGAAAGUUUUUUCGGUGUGGGAUGAGCUCGCGGCCUAUCAGCUUGUUGGUGGGGUAAUGGCCUACCAAGGCGUCGACGGGUAGCCGGCCUGGGAGGGUGUACGGCCACAUUGGGACUGAGAGACGGCCCAGACUCCGACGGGAGGCAGCAGGGGGGAAUAUUGCACAAUGGGCGCAAGCCUGAUGCAGCGACGCCGCGUGGGGGAUGACGGCCUUCGGGUUGUAAACUCCUGUCGCUAGGGACGAAGCGUUUUUGUGACGGUACCUGGAGAAGAAGCACCGGCUAACUACGUG